UAACUUAGUGGCGGACGGGUGAGUAACGCGUGGGUAACCUGCCUUACACAGGGGGAUAACACUUAGAAAUAGGUGCUAAUACCGCAUAAGCGCACAGUCCCGCAUGGGACAGAGUGAAAAACAUUAGUGGUGUAAGAUGGACCCGCGUCUGAUUAGCUUGUUGGCGGGGUAACGGCCCACCAAGGCGACGAUCAGUAGCCGGCCUGAGAGGGUGGACGGCCACAUUGGGACUGAGACACGGCCCAAACUCCUACGGGAGGCAGCAG
This 266-nucleotide ribosomal RNA is filed under the name uncultured bacterium. RNAcentral describes it as "partial 16S ribosomal RNA". It matches the Rfam family "Bacterial small subunit ribosomal RNA", at positions 88 to 354 of the family's 1533-position model. The record is from RNAcentral.